GACGAACGCUUGCGACGUGCCUAAGAAAUGCAAGUCGAACGGGGGAGCAAUCCCUAGUGGCGAACGGUCGCGUAACACGUGGGCAACCUGCCCUGAAGCGGGGGACAACAAGUCGAAAGAUUUGCUAAUACCGCAUGUGUCUCGCUGUGGCAUCACAGAGGAGACAAAGCCGCAAGGCACUUCAGGAUGGGCCCGCGGCCUAUCAGCUUGUUGGUGAGGUAACGGCCCACCAAGGCUUCGACGGGUAGCUGGUCUGAGAGGACGAUCAGCCGGAUUGGGACUGAGAUACGGCCCAGACUCCUACGGGGGCGA
RNAcentral lists this ribosomal RNA (312 nucleotides) under uncultured bacterium. RNAcentral describes it as "bacterial SSU rRNA". It matches the Rfam family "Bacterial small subunit ribosomal RNA", at positions 28 to 350 of the family's 1533-position model. The record is from RNAcentral.